RNAcentral lists this ribosomal RNA (253 nucleotides) under uncultured bacterium. RNAcentral describes it as "partial 16S ribosomal RNA". It matches the Rfam family "Bacterial small subunit ribosomal RNA", at positions 524 to 776 of the family's 1533-position model. The record is from RNAcentral.
UACGGAGGGUGCAAGCGUUAAUCGGAAUUACUGGGCGUAAAGCGCACGCAGGCGGUUUGUUAAGUCAGAUGUGAAAUCCCCGGGCUCAGCCUGGGAAUUGCAUCUGAUACUGGCAAGCUUGAAUCUCGUAGAGGGAGAUGGAAUUCCAGGUGUAGCGGUGAAAUGCGUAGAGAUGUGGAGGAAUACCGGUGGCGAAGGCGGCCCCCUGGACGAAGACUGACGCUCAGGUUCGAAAGCGUGGGUAGCAAACAGG